AGGGACGUGUCGACCUGCAGCUCGGUGCUAGUAGUUGUGACGCGCUGUGGCUGCGGCUGACGACAGUCAAUAUCGCCGUUUGUUUUGUUCAAUCACAACAAUAUCAGCCUGCAGACAUGUCGAAUGUGCGGCUGUUCAGCGCGGCGACACUGCGGCGUCAUUACGCCCUGCUGCCCCUCGUCGGCAUGCUGGCCGCGGCCGUGACCGGUGCCGUGGCCUUCUCCGUGCGGACGGCCGUCAGGGCGCCGGAGGUGGCGUACCGCAGGUCCGACGCUGCGCCAUGGGAGAGCUACCGCCAUCGGAGCUACAAACUCUACAACCCCAGCGGCCUGCGUCGUGACCAGUGCCCGGCGCCAAGGUUUUGAAAGCUCACGAGCGGUGACGGCGCCGCGUGUUGGCUGCCGACAGCAACCAGCGUCUCGGCCAUCGACACCGGCGUGAUUGUGCCCGGGCAGAGACGACAUUGUGCCAGGGCAGAGACCAAAUUUACAUAAUGUGUAGAGUGAUUCGAAAACUAAAUUGUGUUGCAUAACGGCGCUGUAACUUGUAUUGUAUUUUUAGUUUUGUAUUGUGAAUUGUUCUGCAUGACACUGUAACGUGUAUUGUAUCAUCGAUAUUGUAUUGUGAAUUUGCUUCGCAAUGUGUUAUCUUAGUACAAAUGGAACCCUUCAUUUGAGUUUUGUAAUAAAGCUCAAAGUGCUG
This is a long non-coding RNA of Pollicipes pollicipes, 702 nucleotides long. RefSeq lists it as uncharacterized. The record is from RefSeq and is a predicted model, not a curated record. NCBI's taxonomy places the organism in Eukaryota, Metazoa, Arthropoda, Thecostraca, Pollicipedomorpha, Pollicipedidae. The transcript has 3 exons.